AAAUUGAAGAGUUUGAUCAUGGCUCAGAUUGAACGCUGGCGGCAGGCCUAACACAUGCAAGUCGAACGGUAACAGGAAGCAGCUUGCUGCUUUGCUGACGAGUGGCGGACGGGUGAGUAAUGUCUGGGAAACUGCCUGAUGGAGGGGGAUAACUACUGGAAACGGUGGCUAAUACCGCAUAACGUCGCAAGACCAAAGAGGGGGACCUUCGGGCCUCUUGCCAUCAGAUGUGCCCAGAUGGGAUUAGCUGGUUGGUGAGGUAACGGCUCACCAAGGCGACGAUCCCUAGCUGGUCUGAGAGGAUGACCAGCCACACUGGAACUGAGACACGGUCCAGACUCCUACGGGAGGCAGCAGUGGGGAAUAUUGCACAAUGGGCGCAAGCCUGAUGCAGCCAUGCCGCGUGUAUGAAGAAGGCCUUCGGGUUGUAAAGUACUUUCAGCGGGGAGGAAGGUGUUGUGGUUAAUAACCGCAGC
Molecule: ribosomal RNA, 476 nt
Filed under: Salmonella enterica
Lineage: Bacteria; Pseudomonadati; Pseudomonadota; Gammaproteobacteria; Enterobacterales; Enterobacteriaceae
Also listed under: 1 other name
Description: bacterial SSU rRNA
Rfam family: Bacterial small subunit ribosomal RNA
Source: RNAcentral